CUCAGGGAGAUCAGUGACUGCUAGGAGCAAGCAGGCGCCAACAGAGAGACCUGGGAUUUGCGACUGAGACUACCAGCAAGACAGGCUUGGGAGGAGCCCUGGUAAGAAAUACACUUCAGCAAUUCUAAUUCUAAGUUAACAAAGGUUUUGUGUGAGAAUGUAGAGAGCGAAUGUGUACGUGCACACAUGAACGCACUGGGGAGAUGAACAACAGGAGAACUCUCCUUCCUUUCCAUCAGAUGCUGAUGCCCCCAGACUCUGAUGUAUGGACAUUAAGGCCUCAAUGUCUUCAAAUCCCAUUGCCUUCCGUGAGCUUUUCACAGAGGGUAACUGAUUGGAACACAGGAACCUGUUCUGUUGUUGAUGUC
Molecule: long non-coding RNA, 368 nt
Organism: Chelonia mydas (Green sea turtle)
Lineage: Eukaryota; Metazoa; Chordata; Testudines; Cheloniidae
Exons: 4
Source: RefSeq, a predicted model, not a curated record